CGUAACAAGGUUUCCGUAGGUGAACCUGCGGAAGGAUCAUUACCUAGAGUUGUAGGCUUUGCCUGCUAUCUCUUACCCAUGUCUUUUGAGUACCUUCGUUUCCUCGGCGGGUCCGCCCGCCGAUUGGACAAUUUAAACCAUUUGCAGUUGCAAUCAGCGUCUGAAAAAACUUAAUAGUUACAACUUUCAACAACGGAUCUCUUGGUUCUGGCAUCGAUGAAGAACGCAGCGAAAUGCGAUAAGUAGUGUGAAUUGCAGAAUUCAGUGAAUCAUCGAACCUUUGAACGCACAUUGCGCCCCUUGGUAUUCCAUGGGGCAUGCCUGUUCGAGCGUCAUUUGUACCUUCAAGCUCUGCUUGGUGUUGGGUGUUUGUCUCGCCUCUGCGCGCAGACUCGCCUCAAAACAAUUGGCAGCCGGCGUAUUGAUUUCGGAGCGCAGUACAUCUCGCGCUUUGCACUCAUAACGACGACGUCCAAAAGUACAUUUUUACACUCUUGACCUCGGAUCAGGUAGGGAUACCCGCUGAACUUAAGCAUAUCA
RNAcentral lists this ribosomal RNA (540 nucleotides) under uncultured fungus. RNAcentral's name for it is "eukaryotic LSU rRNA". The stretch from base 182 to 335 matches the Rfam family "5.8S ribosomal RNA". The record is from RNAcentral. Lineage: Eukaryota; Fungi.